UACGGGGGGGGCAAGCGUUGUUCGGAAUUACUGGGCGUAAAGGGCUCGUAGGCGGCCAACUAAGUCAGACGUGAAAUCCCCAGGCUCAACCUGGGAACUGCGUCUGAUACUGGAUGGCUUGAAUUCGGGAGAGGGAUGCAGAAUUCCAGGUGUAGCGGUGAAAUGCGUAGAUAUCAAGUGGAACACCGGUGGCGAAGGCGAGUCCCUGGACAACACCUGACACUGAGGCACGAAAGCUAGGGGAGCAAACAGG
RNAcentral lists this ribosomal RNA (253 nucleotides) under uncultured bacterium. RNAcentral describes it as "partial 16S ribosomal RNA". It matches the Rfam family "Bacterial small subunit ribosomal RNA", at positions 524 to 776 of the family's 1533-position model. The record is from RNAcentral.